AGCGAACGCUGGCGGCAGGCUUAACACAUGCAAGUCGAGCGGGCAUCCUUGUGGUGUCAGCGGCAGACGGGUGAGUAACGCGUGGGAACGUGCCCUUCGGUUCGGAAUAACUCAGGGAAACUUGAGCUAAUACCGGAUACGUGCGAGAGCAGAAAGGUUUAUCUGCCGAAGGAUCGGCCCGCGUCUGAUUAGCUAGUUGGUGAGGUUAUGGCUCACCAAGGCGACGAUCAGUAGCUGGUCUGAGAGGAUGAUCAGCCACACUGGGACUGAGACACGGCCCAGACUCCUACGGGAAGCAGCAGUGGGGAAUAUUGGACAAUGGGGGCAACACUGAUCCAGCCAUGCCGCGUGAGUGAUGACGGCCUUAGGGUUGUAAAGCUCUUUUCUCCGGGACGAUAAUGACGGUACCGGAGGAAUAAGCCCCGGCUAACUUCGUG
Molecule: ribosomal RNA, 437 nt
Filed under: uncultured bacterium
Lineage: Bacteria
Description: partial 16S ribosomal RNA
Rfam family: Bacterial small subunit ribosomal RNA
Source: RNAcentral